Long non-coding RNA from Microcebus murinus (gray mouse lemur), 4325 nucleotides. The record is from Ensembl. Lineage: Eukaryota; Metazoa; Chordata; Mammalia; Primates; Cheirogaleidae.
AUGUUCAUUGCGGGGAGAAAGCAGUCAUUACAGCAUGCAAAGCUCGCCUGUUAUGUUCUUUUUGUCUUUCCCACUUGGUACAGAAUUAGAAAUACCUACUACAAGACUUUUCUAGAGGAGGUUCGGGAGCGGGAAAGGGGCAAAGUGAUAGAAUUUGAGCUUCCCAGAAUAUCUGAAAACAGGAUGAAGGCAGCAACUCUCCAAAAGUCCUUAAUUACCCAGCCCCACGAAAUUGUCUUCAAGAGCUCUUCUGUUGAUCUGAGUCCCCCCCAUGGGUAUGCGUUUUCUCAGACAGAACAAGCUGUGGUCACUCAGGAAGAACUAGUCCGUUAUUACGACACUACUAAAACCGAAAGCAAGAAGAGUUUCCUUUAAACCGAUUCAGAUUAACAGACUAAGAUUCAGAUCACUGUAUCCUGCACCCUCCCGUCCUUCCGCUGGGGCUGGCGUGCGAGCCGGCACUCCCAGGCACUCGAGGCUGUGGCUCUGACCGGCCAGUCUGUUAGGUAUAUAUAUAUAUCCACUGAGUCAUGAUCCUUGGGCAUGAAUAACGUGGGGACCCUAUUUACUUUGUGUUAAUUUGUCUCCAGUGUUUUACCAAAUGUAUUUCCUUUUCCAUGGCCAUGAGAUAAUUUGUUCAUCAGCUCAGUCUGAAUAUAAAAUUAAAAGCAUUAUGUUUCACCAAAAUUUAAACCUUGGUACAAGUUUAUUUUGGGGAAAAAUGAUUAUCAUGUUGCAUAAUAAAGCUAUCUUGCCUGAUAGGAAAGGGGUCACUCAGAAACUUUGCAUUUGGGAAACUCACAGGCAUGAGGCAACAUAUAAAACAUUUUUCUAAGCAGGAUCCUGUCCCUCUGAGUCACAUUUUGUUUGUAUGAAAUUUGUGUGAUAUUCUUGAUUGUAGUGAACUCACAUAAUGAGUGUACUCUCAGGCCUCAAAAUCAGGUAUUCGAGAGUCAACGUGUCAUUAUCUUCUGCAAAAAUCAGUUUAAUGUCCUUUCUGAGUUUCCCAUCUAACAGGACUAUUAGGAAAUUCGACCUCGAUCAUGCUUAGGGUCCUGCCUCAGGCUGCACCAACCUUCUAGGCUCUGACAUGGUGCAAAGCAUGGGAGCACCUUGUUCUAUCAUCUGCCCGCACAAGCCACCACUAAGACACCUAGUCCCUUUUGGUCUGGCGGCUCUCUGAGGCUUCUGUGCCAGGAAUGGGACCUGGAAGCUUUGGAAAGGUUGGAAAUCCCGACGCCCGUGGUCCCAUGCCGCGAGGAAAGCCACUCCUGUCCUGCGACUUGUCGUCUUCCCAGGCAUUGCCUCUGGUCUAGGGUGCAGCUGCCUCUCUCUCAAACCCUGUUCUGUGUAGUGAGUUUUUAAAAGCAAAGACUGGGGGAUUCUUUCUUGAAGGCUCCCUCUGUUUUCUGUCCUGCCAAAAUGACCCCUCUGGAGAAAUGAGCCAAAAGCCUCAUGCCUGUUUGAAGGAAAUUAAGGCAACAAGGAAGAAACACUGGGAGAAAAACUCAGUUGGAAUUUCAAAAAAAAAAAAAAAUCCAUGAAUGGAUAAAUAAAAUGUAGUAUAUCCAUAUAGUGACAUACUCUUCAGCCAUAAAAAGGAAUGAAAUACUGAUAAAUGUUCCAACAUGGAUUAAGUAUUGGAAAUAUCACGCUAAUUGAGAAAAGCCAGUCACAAAAGGCCAUAUGCAAUAUGAGUCCAUCCACACGAAAUGUCCAGAAUAGGCAAAGCCGUAGAGAGAAGAAGUGGCUUGGUGGUUGCUUAGGUCAGGAGGGAAGGUGAGGGGGUAAAGUGUUAGUAUUUAAAGUCCCUAGGGUUUCUUUCUAAGGUGACAAAAGUGUUCUAAAACUGUGGUGAUGGUUGCACAUAUUUGAAAAUAUAUUAAAAACUAUUGAAUUAUACACUUUAAGUGGAUGAAUUGGUGAUUUAAAUCUUAAUAAAGCUGUGUUUAAAAAUUAUCCAGCUGGGCACAGUGGCUUACACCUGUAGUCCCAGCUACCUGCAGGGCUCAGGUGGGAGGAUUGCUUGAGCUCAGGAGUUUGAGACCAACCUGGGCAAGAUAGUGAGACCCCCCCCCACCUCUAAAUAUAAAUAAAUAAAUAAACAAAUAAAUAAAUAAAUAAAUAAUCCAGGGAGAUUAUCCCCUUAUAAUCAUGAUGUGGUGACUAGUACUGCCCUCCUGUUUAAAACUGUUAGAAAACUGGAAAAAAUAGAAGAAACAACUAUUUUCAGACAUUAGACAAAGGGCCAGCAUAGGAUGAUAUCCUUAACGGAAAGAAAGUAAACGAAGUGAGCCUUAUCAUUGCCAGCCUUUCUCAGGGCAGUUUUUGGAUCACAGUGUGAGGAAGUAGCACCCAAGCAAAAUGUAAUACUCUCAUUAGGUUGAGGAGACUGAGAUAGAAGUUUGGGGAGGCUGAGGCAGCUGGAAUUUGCUGCAUGGAUUACUGUUGAGAGGGAUGGUAUACACAGAAAGAGCUCUAGGAAUUUCCAUAGGGAUACCAUAGAGUGAAUAGCUAUUAAAAGAAGCUAAGCUACACAUGCAUAGAGUGAAAUUCAAUAAAGUUGAGCAAAGACAAACUACCAGGGAGAUAUAAUCUCAACAAUCCCCGGAACUCCCACAGGAUUCAAGUUCUAACCCAUCAGGGUGGAAAGACCUCGACGAAUACUUGAGAUAUUCCAUAAAGACCCAGCAAGGACCAAACCUUGAGAGUAGGGCUAAACUGGCCCUAGAGAAAGAACACUCUAGACUUUUAAUCUUAUGUUAACAAAGCUUAUCUUUAUCAUAGCAAAGCACAAAAACAAGAUUCUAAAGCGGUAAGGGGCUCCGCAACUAAUUUAUUUAUUUAUUUAUUUUAUUAAUUUUUUUAUUUUAGUGUAUUAUGGGGGUAUAAGUGCUAAGGUUACUUAUAUUGCCCAUGCUCCCCUUCCUCCCUCGAGUAAGAGCUUCAAGCGUGACCAUCGCUGCAACUAAUUUAACUACCUGCAGAAAAGCAAAACAAAAAAAGUUUAAUGGAAGAAAACAAAAUCCAGACACUUAACAAUGAAUAGACAUCCAGUAAAAAAUACUAGAUAUUCAAAGCAGGAACAUAUGGUCCAUAACCUGGAUAAAAGCAAGUCAAUGGAAGCAGACCCAGACGUGAUAGAGAUGAUGGAAUUUACAUGCAAGAACUUCAAAACAGCUAUUAUAAACAUGUUCAAGGUCUUAGAAACAACACACUAGAGAGAGAAAUGGCAACCAUAAUAAAAGAACCAAAUGAAACUUCUAGAGCUGAAAUAUAAUGAAAACUUCACUGGCUAGAAUUAGCAGCAGAUGAGACACUGAAGAAUAAAAAAUAAAAACUUGAAGACAUAACAAUAGAAACUAUUCAGACUGAAACACAAAGAGAAAGAAGGCUGAGCAAAGAAAUGAAGAGAUAUUGUCUCAGUCACCUGUGAGACAGUAUCAAGUAGUUUAACAUGCUUUAUAAGUUGCUUUAUAAGUUGCAGAUAGAGAAAGGACAGACCAGUUGGCUGAAUAAAUAAAGGCAGAACAUUUCUCAGUAUUUGCUUGUACCUCACUGAACUCCUUUAAAUAUCACAGCAUGUAAGAAGCAAAGGAACACAAAGCCACCCAAACUUUAGGGGAUAAAUGAUUUCAUCACCAAUCCUCAGCAUUUAAGUCAGUCAGUUGAUUAUUUUGAAAUAUCACCGGUCGUUCCACGCUGGCGCUGUGCAAAAGCAUCUGGGCGGUGCAUUUUCACACAGCACUUUAGUUUCUUGCCGAAGAUGUAACUGUAACAUGAACACAUGAACCAUGGGCAACGCGAACCAGGGAGCACGUAUGUACUGUAGGCCACGUCACAUGUUUAAAGAACUCCAGAUCAUGUGAAAGUGGCUGUCAGCGGCGGAGCAGUGCCCUCAGAGAAAGGGGCAGGAGCUGGGCCCAGUGACACGCUCAACAUGUGUCCAGAAUGUCAUAAAAUUGACGCCCAGAGAAGACAGGACCGUCAUGGGCCCAGCGGCCCCCGGCAGCGGUGUGCGCUGGAGGAAGAGCCCAGGGCGGAGCCGGCGCGCUGAACCGAGGAGCAAGGGGUCCUGAAGCUCCCUCCAGGCUUCUCGAAACCUCUGCCCUGGGCUUGCUUGUCAAACUGCCUGAGAAGCUGAGCACUGCGCGGGGACGCAGGAAGCGAGCCUGCGAGGCAGGGCCUGGCACCGACCCUUGCGCUCCUGCCCCGCCCGGCGAGCGCGGGGACGCGGCGCGGACCGCACGGGGCGCAGGGCGCUUUCGGGUUCCCUCCGCUCCCCCAGAGCAGCCCUGGUUGAGAAGGUCCCCGGUGCGCUGGGC